RNAcentral lists this ribosomal RNA (492 nucleotides) under uncultured bacterium. Its description in RNAcentral is "partial 16S ribosomal RNA". It matches the Rfam family "Bacterial small subunit ribosomal RNA", at positions 29 to 507 of the family's 1533-position model. The record is from RNAcentral.
AGUGAACGCUGGCGGUAGGCCUAACACAUGCAAGUCGAACGGCAGCACAGUAAGAGCUUGCUCUUACGGGUGGCGAGUGGCGGACGGGUGAGGAAUACAUCGGAAUCUCCUUUUUCGUGGGGGGUAACGUAGGGAAACUUACGCUAAUACCGCAUACGACCUACCGGUGAAAGCAGGGGAUCUUCGGACCUUGCGCGAAUGAAUGAGCCGAUGUCGGAUUAGCUAGUUGGGGGGGUAAAGGCGCACCAAGGCGACGAUCCGUAGCUGGUCUGAGAGGAUGAUCAGCCACACUGGAACUGAGACACGGUCCAGACUCCUACGGGAGGCAGCAGUGGGGAAUAUUGGACGAUGGGCGCAAGCCUGAUCCAGCCAUACCGCGUGGGUGAAGAAGGCCUUCGGGUGGUAAAGCCCUUUUGUUGGGAAAGAAAAGCAGCAGGUUAAUACCCCGCUGUUCUGACGGUACCCAAAGAAUAAGCACCGGCUAACUUCGUG